CAACUUCCACCUGGCAUACCUCUUCAUUUAUGCCUCAUAGGCUUAUACCCUUGAGCGUAUUCUGGUUAUCUGUGCUGAAUUCCAAUUAUCUGGUAUUGUUUUUGCUGAUUGAAGUCCCUUUUCAUGUUGGUGCCUUUGUUAAUCAAUAUGAACCAUGAAGUGGUCUCUAUGUUCCMCUAUGUUGAUGCUGAUGCUUUGAUAUUUUGGCCCAUUGAGCUGUGUUAGGUAUCCAAGAUACGGAAAAUUCUGUGGGCGUGGGGUCUAUAAUGGCUCUUGUUUUUCCCUCGUUUAGCAUUCUUUCAAAACGACAGUUCAUGCACGCCUAGGCUCGUACCUGUGUGAUGAUUCUUGUCAAAGAAGAAUGCUACCUGGUUGAUCCUGCCAGUAGUCAUAUGCUUGUCUCAAAGAUUAAGCCAUGCAUGUGUA
Molecule: unclassified non-coding RNA, 426 nt
Filed under: Rockhausenia caespitosa
Lineage: Eukaryota; Viridiplantae; Streptophyta; Magnoliopsida; Asterales; Asteraceae
Description: Werneria caespitosa partial contains external transcribed spacer and 18S ribosomal RNA
Rfam family: Eukaryotic small subunit ribosomal RNA (bases 366-426)
Source: RNAcentral